Molecule: long non-coding RNA, 1476 nt
Filed under: Oryctolagus cuniculus (rabbit)
Lineage: Eukaryota; Metazoa; Chordata; Mammalia; Lagomorpha; Leporidae
Description: lncRNA (ENSOCUG00000030861.1)
Source: RNAcentral
GAAGCACCUGCCUGGCUUCUCUCCGCUCCCUCCAGCCACGGCAACUCUCAUUCCGAUUUUUACUCACAACACCCGAGAGGGAAACAAGCGUUAACCAGAACGCGCCAGCUGAAUCCGUUACCGGGACCGGGGCACCCCACCCGACCACAAGAGGAAGCCGCAUGCCCGGGCUUGGCUUCAGCGGUGGGAGAGGCUGCCGCUGCUGUCGCUGCUUUGCCCUUGACAAGACGCCUCGGGAUCGCGCAGACCCCCUCAACUCGCGAGGCCAGCGGCGUGCGGGAGACGUUCGCCAGGUCCGAGCUGCGCCCUGGGCCCUCCAGGCCUUACCCAAACGCCGCCCCCCCCCCAGUCGGCGGGGGACACACCGCGGGGUCUCAGAGCCGCGCGCAAGGGCCGGGAAGCUGGUACGAGGCCUGGGGAGAAGCUCGCUCCUCCGAGAAGUGGGUCCCACCUGUCCUGUCGUCGCGGGGCACCGAGGGGCCGCGACAGGGGGAGCCGAGACCGUGCGCGCCUGGCCAGCCGCGAUCUGCACCCCGCGGUACCAACUGUCAAGCUGCCGCCUGGGCCGUGGGGGUGGGGCCGCGAUGUGGACUCAGCCCCUCCGGGUCUCCAGACCCUUGCGGCCCCCGGCCCGAAGCCGCCCCUCUGCUGGCUUCUCAGGCUGCCCCAGGGGUCCGCUCGCCCCAAUCUGACUCCAGGCAGCCUUCCAGCCCGCACGCAGCACCUCUGAAAGGUGCCCACGGACGCCCCCGCCUUCCUCCCCGUCGCGACUCGGCCAGGGAGUCCCGCCGGCGGCCCGCCCCCUCACAGCCCCUGUCUCGGCCGCUGGCCCGCCCCCCGCGCCCACCCCCGCCAGCGGCAGAGCCGGGGGAGCGCCCGCCAGGUAUGCGCGCGGCACGGCGCGAGCUGCGCUCACGCCCCCUCGCCCCCAGGGCUGCCCGCCAGCCCACAGCUCCCUCGCCACAGGCCAAGCCCGCUAGACCGAUGUCCGAUGGGCAUCUUCCGCGACCCCGAGGCCAGCCUUCGCCCCCAGCCCCACGACUCACUUGCAUGGGGAGUCGCGGCAGCCGCCGGAAUUCCGCUCUCCGAGCCCCCAGCCGCGGAAUGAAAUCCGGGGCAGAGCAGCGUCGGGGCUUCGCACCCCAGUCGCGUUCUCUGGCCGGCUCGUGGGGCGCAGGGCGAGAGCCGUCUGCCAGGGCCGGCCCUUCCUGUUCGCCUCCUGCCUGCCGCCGCUGCCCGGCUCGCUGGUGCGAACGCUGCCGACUUGCCACCGCGAGCCUCCCGGGCUGCGGAGCAUGCCCAGUCCGCGGCCGAGCCGGCCCGGCUUCCCGCGCGACGAGAGUCCGCUCCUCCGGGUGUUCGCGGCGGCCGGGGAGGGGGGCGGGCCGGGCUGGCCGGGCGGGGUCCGCGGGGGACCACUGGGGGCUCUUCCUGGGACCGAGCGGGACGCGGACGGGGCUACACGCCGUGGAGUGA